GCAGGCCCGUUUUGAAUCAAACACUAUCAUUAUUUCGAACCACUCUUUCAUUCUCACUCUCAUUUCUUCAAUCGGUUAAGAGCAAUAUAUGAACUCAGGUUGGAGAUAGAGCCUCUGGAUUUGUCUUUCGCAUCUGGGAUUUUUUCAUUUAGCAGACUCUGAUCUUAUGGCACUUGACAGGUUAAAUUCUCCAACCACAUUUGAAAUGCCACUGGAGGUUUUGGGCCAUGAAUUGCAGUUUACUCAGGAUCCCAAUUCAAAGCACCUAGGAACAACAGUGUGGGAUUCAUCACUUGUUUUUGCCAAAUUUCUUGAACGGAAUUGCAGAAAGGGAAGGUUUUCUCCAGCUAAACUUAAAGGAAAACGUGUAAUUGAACUUGGAGCUGGCUGUGGUGUUUCUGGUUUUGGCAUGGCUUUGCUGGGGUGUGAUGUUAUAGUGACAGACCAAAAAGAGGUUUUGCCAUUAUUGCAGAGAAACGUCGAACGUAAUAUUUCAAGAGUCAUGCAGAAGAACCCUGAUUUGAAUGGUGAUAAUUCCUUACAAGCAAAUAUAUUUUUUCUAGAGUCAUUUGGUUCUAUCAAGGUUGCCGAACUUCAGUGGGGAGAUGAGAGCCACAUUAAGGCUGUUGAUCCUCCAUUUGACUAUAUUAUCGGCACCGACGUAGUCUAUGUAGAGCAUCUGUUGGAACCUCUGUUGCAGACAAUACUUGCUUUAUCUGGACCUAGGACUACAAUCUUGUUGGGCCAUGAGAUCCGUUCCACCUGUGUCCAUGAAAAGAUGCUUGAGAUGUGGAAACAAAACUUUGAUGUGAAGAAUGUUCCAAAAUCUAAAAUGGAUGAAACAUAUCAACAUCCAAGUAUUCAGCUCUUCAUUAUGGGAUUCAAGAAUUCAGCUGAGUCCACCGGGAACUCAGGUCAGGCAGCUGCCGAAAAAGUUGACGAUCAAACUGGCGUGGAAGGUAAAAGUGGUGAGGAAAAUUUGGCAAUGGAACCAUCAUCUAGUGUUGAAAAAAUUGUUGAGGAUCAUGAGAAAGCAGCAACCGGAACUAAAAAGCUUAGUGAGUGGGAAGCAAGAAGGUAUGGAUCAAUGGCUGCAAGGAUUCUGAAAGAUGUAAAGAUAUCCUGAUUUUGAGAGCUCAUAGAAACGAGUUUAAUUUUAAUACAUUGCCAAUGUAAAACGUGUUGAUGUUGUAAGUUUUACGAAUUAAAUCUUUAAUGAAAUGCCAUAGUGGUCAUUUCA
Arachis ipaensis is the source of this 1240-nucleotide non-coding RNA. NCBI's taxonomy places the organism in Eukaryota, Viridiplantae, Streptophyta, Magnoliopsida, Fabales, Fabaceae. The record is from RefSeq and is a predicted model, not a curated record.